This 254-nucleotide ribosomal RNA is filed under the name uncultured prokaryote. RNAcentral's name for it is "partial 16S ribosomal RNA". It matches the Rfam family "Bacterial small subunit ribosomal RNA", at positions 525 to 777 of the family's 1533-position model. The record is from RNAcentral.
ACGUAGGGGGCGAGCGUUGUCCGAAGUUACUGGGCGUAAAGCGCGCGUAGGCGGGGGGUUAAGUGGGAGGUGAAAGGCUGGGGCUCAACUCCAUGCAGUGCCUCCCAUACUGGCCUUCUUGAGGGCGGUAGGGAGAAGUGGAAUGGCUGGUGUAGCGGUGAAAUGCGUAGAUAUCAUUUGGAACGCCAAUGGUGAAAACAGCUCGCUGGGGGUGUGCUGACGCUGAGACACGAAAGCCAGGGGAGCGAACGGGA